Molecule: ribosomal RNA, 429 nt
Filed under: Bacteroidota bacterium
Lineage: Bacteria; Pseudomonadati; Bacteroidota
Description: Bacteroidetes bacterium partial 16S ribosomal RNA
Rfam family: Bacterial small subunit ribosomal RNA
Source: RNAcentral
UAGGGAAUCUUCCGCAAUGGACGCAAGUCUGACGGAGCAACGCCGCGUGAGUGAAGAAGGAUUUCGGUUCGUAAAACUCUGUUGUUAGAGAAGAACAGCGCAUAGAGUAACUGUUAUGCGUGUGACGGUAUCUAACCAGAAAGCCACGGCUAACUACGUGCCAGCAGCCGCGGUAAUACGUAGUUGGCAAGCGUUGUCCGGAUUUAUUGGGCGUAAAGCGAGCGCAGGCGGUCAAUUAAGUCUGAUGUGAAAGCACACGGCUCAACCGGGGAGGGUCAUUGGGAACUGGUUGAGUUGAGUGCAGAAGAGGAGAGUGGAAUUCCAUGUGUAGGGGUGAAAUGCGUAGUUAUAUGGAGGAACACCAGUGGCGAAGGCGACUCUCUAGUCUGUAACUGAAGCAGAGGCUCGAAAGCGUGGGUAGCAAACAGG